GACGAACGCUGGCGGCGUGCUUAACACAUGCAAGUCGAACGGAAAGGCCCUGCUUUUGUGGGGUGCUCGAGUGGCGAACGGGUGAGUAACACGUGAGUAACCUGCCCUUGACUUUGGGAUAACUUCAGGAAACUGGGGCUAAUACCGGAUAGGAGCUCCUGCUGCAUGGUGGGGGUUGGAAAGUUUCGGAGGUUGGGGAUGGACUCGCGGCUUAUCAGCUUGUUGGUGGGGUAGUGGCUUACCAAGGCUUUGACGGGUAGCCGGCCUGAGAGGGUGACCGGCCACAUUGGGACUGAGAUACGGCCCAGACUCAUACGGGAGGCAGCAGUGGGGAAUAUUGCACAAUGGGCGGAAGCCUGAUGCAGCAACGCCGCGUGCGGGAUGACGGCCUUCGGGUUGUAAACCGCUUUCGCCUGUGACGAAGCGUGAGUGACGGUAAUGGGUAAAGAAGCACCGGCUAACUACGUG
Molecule: ribosomal RNA, 468 nt
Filed under: uncultured bacterium
Lineage: Bacteria
Description: partial 16S ribosomal RNA
Rfam family: Bacterial small subunit ribosomal RNA
Source: RNAcentral